This is a long non-coding RNA of Hippocampus comes (tiger tail seahorse), 429 nucleotides long. RefSeq lists it as uncharacterized. The transcript is spliced from 2 exons. The record is from RefSeq and is a predicted model, not a curated record. NCBI's taxonomy places the organism in Eukaryota, Metazoa, Chordata, Actinopteri, Syngnathiformes, Syngnathidae.
UUGUGAAGCUUUUGACAAGAUAUUUCCUUUUGGCUUGCAGUUCCUAACAAGCAAGCAGUGGAUGAGGCAGUGGUCAACAUGACCAGUUCAGGGCACAAUCUCUGGAAAACACUUGCUAUGGAGGUUGCAGAGACCCAGAAGACCUCGAAUGGAACAGCUGCCUCCAAAAUUGAAGUCCAACGCUACCUGGCAGAAGCAAAGACACCCAGAAACCCAGAAAUCAAGACCCUUUAAAAUAUUGGAAAUGGAAACAGAAAACAUAUUCACAUCUGCAUCAACUUGCACUUAAAACUCUGUGUUCACCAUUGUCAUCUGUACCAUGUGAAAGCGUAAUUUCUGAGGCUGGGGAGCUGGUGUCAAAGAGGAGAAAUCGCCUUGGAGUAAAGACACGCCAAAAACUUUUGUUCCUCAAAAAAAAAAUUCAUCAAC